Molecule: unclassified non-coding RNA, 268 nt
Filed under: uncultured Ascomycota
Lineage: Eukaryota; Fungi; Ascomycota
Description: sequence contains ITS2
Source: RNAcentral
AACGCACAUUGCGCCUCCUGGCAUUCCGGGGGGCAUGCCUGUUCGAGCGUCAUUAGAAGCCUUCGGGAGAGCGUGGCUCGCCCGGUCCUGGGGGAUGGUCUCUCGUAGCCCACCCCCGAAAUCCAACGGCGGACAACCACCGGUGGAACUGCUGGCGUAGUGAGUAGUCAAUACUUUCGCCGGCGGCCACCGAGGGACGGUCCCGCCGGUUAAACCCCCACAUCCUAAGGUUGACCUCGGAUCAGGUAGGGAUACCCGCUGAACUUAA